GGGGAUGCCCUUUAGUGUACAUUUGGAUUUGCAUUUGGACAUUUUGCAAACAAAUUGUUCCUUCAAAAAUAUUUCCCAAAACAGAUACCGUGUUCAAAUGGAAAACAAAACGAGCGCUCCUAGAAGCUACAAUGGAAACUGGAAGCCAGUCUGAGCUAAGGCUGUAAAGUGAUGGACAAUCUGUGUAAACGGUCAGGUUGGACUUUGAGAGUUCUUCUGUACAUUUAAAGUGAGAGGAAAAGCAGAACAAAUGUGAGUUCCUCCCACUGCCGUUACGAGCAGUCAGACGUAAAGAGGUGAAGGGUCAGAGCUACGGUGCCCUGAAAAGUGCCAAAAAGAAAAGUGCCAAAAAAAGGAGGUGGGUCUGUUGGCUGGCAGAGUUGCCCAGUUGUCGUCACUGUGCCUGGGGCAGCCUCUGGGACAAUCUGGCCUCUCUGGAAGAUCCUCCGCUGGAGCGACAUCAGAGCUGUCUUGCAGGAGGAAAACCAAAGAGACGAGGACGCUUUGAGAACAGCCAGAGCUGUCGAAACAAGAAACAAUAGAGCAUUGAAUCGGGCAAAUCCCAGUUCGUAGGGUGUCCUGGUAGAAGGCUGGAGGCACAUAAAUCCGCUAAUGCAAUCUGAAUGGUUAAAUAUAUGCAAUAUAUGUUCAAACAAUACAUAAGACAGCUGUGCUUUAUUGGCUGUUCCCGCAGGAGAAAUGAAGCUUGUGAGUGACGUCUCCUCCUCUUGAUUGACAGAAAGCGUUGACUCAGAACUCAAGUUGGUAGCUAUUGUACAAAUGCUCUUGAAGGUGUUCUCAGUACAGCUGGUGUUAUUGUCCUACAGCUCAAACCUGUUGCAUCAAUCUCAGCAUUAUGAUUACAUGGUCUCAGAUUUUACUCUUGAUUUAAAAGUUUCGUAAUGUAUU
Thunnus maccoyii (southern bluefin tuna) is the source of this 909-nucleotide long non-coding RNA. RefSeq lists it as uncharacterized. Lineage: Eukaryota; Metazoa; Chordata; Actinopteri; Scombriformes; Scombridae. The record is from RefSeq and is a predicted model, not a curated record. The transcript has 4 exons.